Molecule: transfer RNA, 76 nt
Filed under: Anaerolineae bacterium
Lineage: Bacteria; Bacillati; Chloroflexota; Anaerolineae
Description: tRNA-Phe
Rfam family: tRNA
About the family: Transfer RNA (tRNA) molecules are approximately 80 nucleotides in length. Their secondary structure includes four short double-helical elements and three loops (D, anti-codon, and T loops).
Source: RNAcentral
GCCUGCGGUAGCUUAUGUGGUAGAGCGGGUGUCUGAAGCACACCAGGAGCGGAUUCGAACGCCGCCCCAGGCACCA